Molecule: long non-coding RNA, 280 nt
Organism: Fukomys damarensis (Damara mole-rat)
Lineage: Eukaryota; Metazoa; Chordata; Mammalia; Rodentia; Bathyergidae
Exons: 3
Source: RefSeq, a predicted model, not a curated record
GGAGCUUUCCUCAGCAGCUGCUGUAAUCCAUUGUGAGCCUGCAAACUGCUGAGUGGGAUUGUGAAAAAAAAGGUCAUAUUUUACAACUUCAGAACUCCAGUUUCACUGAAUAAUGAAAAAAUAGCUCUCCAUCAUGCCCUCCUUCCCUGCCAUCUUGGCUUGCAGCCAGCCAACUAUGGGCAGAAGCACGAGCCAAAAUAAACUUCUCCUUGGAGUUGCAGCGGCUGGGUAUUGUGUCUCCGUGACAAGGAAAGUGACUAAGUAUUGUGUCUCAGUAGCA